UACGGGAGGCAGCAGUGGGGGAAUAUUGCACAAUGGGCGCAAGCCUGAUGCAGCCAUGCCGCGUGUGUGAAGAAGGCCUUCGGGUUGUAAAGCACUUUCAGUCGUGAGGAAGGUAGUGUAGUUAAUAGCUGCAUUAUUUGACGUUAGCGACAGAAGAAGCACCGGCUAACUCCGUGCCAGCAGCCGCGGUAAUACGGAGGGUGCGAGCGUUAAUCGGAAUUACUGGGCGUAAAGCGCAUGCAGGUGGUUUGUUAAGUCAGAUGUGAAAGCCCGGGGCUCAACCUCGGAAUUGCAUUUGAAACUGGCAGACUAGAGUACUGUAGAGGGGGGUAGGAAUUUCAGGUGUAGCGGUGAAAAUGCGUAGAGAUCUGAAGGAAUACCGGUGGCGAAGGCGGCCCCCUGGACAGAUACUGACACUCAGAUGCGAAAGCGUGGGGAGCAAACAGGAUUAGAUACCCGGUAG
RNAcentral lists this ribosomal RNA (463 nucleotides) under uncultured bacterium. Its description in RNAcentral is "bacterial SSU rRNA". It matches the Rfam family "Bacterial small subunit ribosomal RNA", at positions 340 to 793 of the family's 1533-position model. The record is from RNAcentral.